Molecule: long non-coding RNA, 1407 nt
Organism: Helianthus annuus (common sunflower)
Lineage: Eukaryota; Viridiplantae; Streptophyta; Magnoliopsida; Asterales; Asteraceae
Exons: 4
Source: RefSeq, a predicted model, not a curated record
UGUACAUACUUGCUUUAUUAGUCAUCAUCACAACUCAUUUAUUGAGAAGAGGGAAUUUCCAAGUAGGUAUCUUGUUCCAUGUUUAUGAUCAUGUUUUACUUUUGCAUAUAUUCUUUUGGUAUAUGUUCUUGUUUAUUGUGCAUCACUUGUUCUUGUGGUUUUCUUUUGAUGAUGUGAUAUUGAUGUUUAAAAUCACUUAGUAGUAAAGUGGGCUUAAGAAUCUAAUGCUUGUUUAUGCUUUUGUUGUUUGAUGUUGUAGUAAUCAUAUUAGAAGUUUGAGUGUUUUAACAUAUUCUGAUUAUUUAAGGAUUUACUAGAUAUAAAGACCAAAAAGGGAGCAGCUUUUUGUAAACCAUAAUCAGUUUAUUGCAAAUAAUUAGAUAAUAAGAAGCAAAACCUGUUUGCAAAGAUUGUUAAAAACUUAUUAUCAGCAACUUAAAGUGUCAUUAAUCAAAUAAUCAAUACCAGCACACAAAUCCAAAGUUGUUGCUACAAUAUAGUAUAUGUAUAUACGCCGACAAAGGAUCCAAGAAGCAGAGGACCUAUGAAUUGCUGCUACAGAUUUUUAGGUAAUAUCAUGUUUUAGAUACCCUCAAGAAGACAAAGUCCACUGCUAAGAGCCUGCAACCAUGAAGUACCUAGGCUACUUCUCUGCCUUGAAGCCUGAUAAGGUGGAAGAAGAAAGGAAGAAGAAGAAGGGGUAGGUGGUGGGACCUUUGGUGGGGGAAAAAACAAAAGAAGGGGUAAAGGUAAAGGUCCAGGUCUGCAGAGAAAAAGAGGUUACAUAGGAUGACAAGGAGGUCAAAUGGGUUUCAAUAAGUAGUUCUUUUUUGAGUAAUUAUUUGUGUUUGGCCAUCUUUCAAGAAGUUUGAGCAGUGUGGAUCUAUCUUAUUCGGGUUAAGUCGAUAGACAAUAUACAUUGAUCUGAAUACUAGUUUUUGGUCAUUUUGGUGGUCUUAAAAUUGUGCAUGAGAUGAUGAUGACCAUGUUGAAGUGUUAUCCUCAAAGUGGCCAGAAAACAUUGAUGAGAAGCUGGAAGAAAGUUCAGCGUGUGGAAAAGCCAGGUGUCCAUGACGAUAUGUUAGAUGAUCUGGUCUUCAUUGAAGAACCAAGUAUCGUUGAUUUUAAACAGUUAGAAGAAUUACGAGUUACAGUGAAAACGGGUCAUCACAGUUGGAUUAUCUUGUAAAAAAUUGGGAAUAUAAACAAGAAAAUGCUGUGAGACUUCUAAGGGAAGAGCUUGAAAAUUUAAGCGAGGUAGCCGUUUGUAAUGCCGCUCACAAUUAUUGUUCUUGACAUGUACACUCAAUGGUGAAUUAAUUAGCUUAAUUGCUUAUCCGGUAUUUUUUUCAUUAGUUGAAUUAUUGAUUGAAUUCAUUUAUCUAUGAAAUUAGGCUUAGUAGAGUA